Molecule: ribosomal RNA, 374 nt
Filed under: uncultured organism
Description: partial 16S ribosomal RNA
Rfam family: Bacterial small subunit ribosomal RNA
Source: RNAcentral
GGAGGGUGCAAACGUUGUUCGGAAUUAUUGGGCGUAAAGAGCGUGUAGGCGGUUCGUCAAGUCUGAUGUGAAAGCCCGGGGCUCAACCCCGGAAGUGCAUUGGAAACUGGCGAACUUGAGUACGGGAGAGGAAAGUGGAAUUUCGAGUGUAGGGGUGAAAUCCGUAGAUAUUCGAAGGAACACCGGUGGCGAAGGCGGCUUUCUGGACCGAUACUGACGCUGAGAUGCGAAAGCGUGGGGAGCAAACAGGAUUAGAUACCCUGGGUAGUCCACGCCCUAAACCAUGGGUACUAGGUGUUGCGGGUAUUGACCCCCUGCAGUGCCAAAGCUAACGCAUUAAGUGCCCCGCCUGGGGAGUACGGCCGCAAGGCUAA